UCACCUGCACACAGUGGGAUAAAAUAACAGAUCUGUUGCCUCUGUGGACAUAAACUGAUGUGUCGAGACAAGGCAGAGUAGGUCUGAAAUGAUUAGCUGAGUAAAAAUUGUUGAAAAAUCUACAAUUUCUCCUAAAGUAAAGGGAUUUGAGUUUCCUCUUCAUCAUACCACAUAUAAAACAAACAUUUUGGGGGACUUACAGGCAAAACAGAACUUCACAAAACAUGCUUUGUCUUCAAUUCAAAAAUACCAGUGCUAAUUCCUACAAAAUUUCACACAAAUGUAGUAAAAAAAUAAUGACAACUUAUACCUAAAGGUCAACCUAACUGUGACGUCAUAACAUUCUGCAAAUGUACUUUCCUUACAUGUUAUUCACUGGUACAACUCAGGAACAAAAAAAAAGAUUUUGAAGAACAGUGGAAUUCUGUAAUGUUCAAAAGCUGUAAAAACCAUGAAAAUAACAGCAAACAUAUUUUAAUGAUUUUUUUAGUACAUUUGAAUACACUAUAAAAAGUUGUGUAAUUUUGUGGUCAAAGGUUAAAAAAAAUGCCAUUCAAAAAAUUAUUUAUUAUUUUUCUUAUUAUUUAUUAUGCAUCGAUUUUCUAUAAAUAAUGGCAAAUAUCUGUAAAAUAACCUGUAUUUUUAACAUAUUUAAAUACUGUUUUAAAAAAUGUGCAAUUUUAUGGACAAAUGAAAAAAAUGAAUCACCAUUUGUUAUAAACAAAAAAUCACAAUACAGUGGCUGGAGAUUGAGACAGUUAAAUAAUUUAUUUAACAUUUUUCAGUCCUUAAUAUGUCAGGCCUGCCUCGGCAGGCUCCGGCUAGAGCUCCUCCCUCUUCUUGUUUGUUUUCCUUUUUAGGUAUUGUGUGCUGUGGCAGCGGCGGUAGGUGUGAGCAAUCCUUUGGCAUCAGCAGAAGCAGGAACAGGUGUGCCAGGACCAAUCUGUAAUCUACCUCUACACCAUAUAUUCGGACUCCAGUCAUCAGUUCGACGCCGGAUCGUGAAUGCUCACACUCGGACCCCACCUGCUCUGGUGAUCGAACCAUCUUGCCCUAUUGGACUCAUCAAGACCUCUGCGUUCCAAGCUGACUUCUGGACACAGACUCAUCUCCGUCACUCUUCAGUCCACCGUCCGAUCCCCAUCUGCUGUCGCGACCACCAGCUCCUGCCCCCAGCACAUUAGCACCCUAGCCGACAGUACGGCACCAACACGAGCUGUUUCUAGGCUUUUAGAAUUACGUUUGUCAUAGGUUGGUAUUGUUUGUGGUACCUGUUACCUGGUGAAGGGUUCACCCGGUACUCUUAUUAGUUGAUCUGGUUCAUAGUUUAAUGAUUGCAAACUUUGUUUCCAGUAACUUAAUUGUUUCCCAGCUUCGAGUUCAACCUUUGUUUUAGUAAAGCUUAGUGGCUCCUUCGUUGUAAUUCAUCCUCAGUAUUUUGUGAUCAUUGUUGCGCCUAGCUUCAAGUUAUACUUCAGUUUCCUGUGUGCUUAGUUGCUCAACUAAUCUUCAGCAUUGGCUGUUAUAGUUCUUCGCUUUCCUGCCCAGGUUGUGCCUGCCGUGGGUCCGUUCCUUGUGUUGUUGUGACUUGUAGUUUGUACCGCCCGCCAUUAGGGGCACUCUAGCUCUUUGAGUUUAGUUACUGUAUCUGUUUCCUUUUCCGGAUGCAAGAUCAUAGGGAAUUGUAGUCCCUGUCUCCUUUCGUUUUUGUAAUAAAUCAUUGGGUUAGCA
Amphiprion ocellaris (clown anemonefish) is the source of this 1731-nucleotide long non-coding RNA. RefSeq lists it as uncharacterized. Lineage: Eukaryota; Metazoa; Chordata; Actinopteri; Pomacentridae. The record is from RefSeq and is a predicted model, not a curated record. The transcript is spliced from 2 exons.